Molecule: small nucleolar RNA, 104 nt
Organism: Alexandromys fortis (reed vole)
Lineage: Eukaryota; Metazoa; Chordata; Mammalia; Rodentia; Cricetidae
Product: small nucleolar RNA SNORA42/SNORA80 family
Exons: 1
Source: RefSeq, a predicted model, not a curated record
CCACUUACCCUGUCAUAAUGUCCUGUGCUAGAGCAACCUGUGGCCCCGAACCAUUGCCUGGCCUCUGCCUGUAGGCUACUGGCACUGAAGUGGGUCGCACAGUA